This 405-nucleotide unclassified non-coding RNA is filed under the name soil metagenome. RNAcentral describes it as "partial contains 5.8S ribosomal RNA, internal transcribed spacer 2, and large subunit ribosomal RNA". The stretch from base 1 to 121 matches the Rfam family "5.8S ribosomal RNA", at positions 35 to 154 of the family's 154-position model. The record is from RNAcentral.
GAUGAAGAACGUAGCGAAAUGCGAUAAGUAAUGUGAAUUGCAGAAUUCAGUGAAUCAUCGAAUCUUUGAACGCACCUUGCGCCCUUUGGCCAUUCCGAAGGGCAUGCCUGUUUGAGUAUCAUGAACACCUCAACUCUUUAUGGUUUUCCAUGAUGAGCUUGGACUCUGGGGGUUUUGCUGGCUCACAGUCGGCUCCUCUAAAAUGAAUCAGCUUACCAGUGUUUGGUGGGUAUCAUGGGUGUGAUAACUAUCUACGCUUGUGGUUUUUCCACCAGGUAACCUUCAGCAGUGGAGGUUCGCUGGAGCUCAUAGAUUUCUCUCCUCAGUGAGGACAGCCCUUUGAAUGUUUGAUCUCAAAUCAGGUAGGACUACCCGCUGAACUUAAGCAUAUCAAUAAGCGGAGGA